UAACACUUAUUCUCCAAGAGCAACGGAGCCAGCGUGUCCCAGACAUCUGCGGCUGUUAAUGAGGUGGGGGACGCGAUCUGUUCCCGGGCGCCCCCCACCAAGUUUAUUGGAACGUGUGACAUUAAAGACAGCAGUCUCUCUGGGGCUCGGUGCCCAGAGAGCGUUACACCCCGAGAGAACGUGAAAAGACUUGAAUUAACAACAGGAGUGGGCAGGCCUGCUGUGAUCCUUCUGUUACCAUCUUCAGGGCCUGGGAAGUCAGCACUCAGCCUUUUUGAGUACCAACUUUAAAGACACCACCAGGCAACAAUUUCAUCCCGAAUGGAUUUGGAAAGACCCCUAACUGUAAGGACUGACUUGUCGCCUUGUGUGGACAUGAACGGGAGCAGAGGUGGCUGCGAGCACAUGUGCAGGCGGACCUCCAUGUGGCCCCUGGCCGGGUCCCUAGGUGGUUCCUUGGAAGUCAGUUAUUCUACAAGAGGAGCUCUGGUGUGGCCAUGCCGCUCCAUCGGUGGGAAAAUGUACUGAGCAUUCUUCACCUACAUGGACUCUGAAAGCACUGAGCAAUGCAGACUGAGAGAGACCAGUGUCUGACACACGUUUGGGGGGCAUCAAAUGCUCACAUGUGAGCUUGGCCCUUAACCUUCUUGAAAGCAUACUGCUCUUCCAGGCAUAUGGGGGAAACUUUCUUUUUGCUUUUUAGGCUGCAGCCAGUGGGAGUGGAGUGGAUGGCCAGCUAAGGAAAUUUAAGGAAAUAAACUUAUGGAGUUCCCAUC
Phacochoerus africanus (Common warthog) is the source of this 776-nucleotide long non-coding RNA. RefSeq lists it as uncharacterized. Lineage: Eukaryota; Metazoa; Chordata; Mammalia; Artiodactyla; Suidae. The record is from RefSeq and is a predicted model, not a curated record. The transcript has 2 exons.